GGCCUACCUUGGUGGUAACGGGUAACGGGGAAUUAGGGUUCGAUUCCGGAGAGGGAGCCUGAGAAACGGCUACCACAUCCAAGGAAGGCAGCAGGCGCGCAAAUUACCCAAUCCCGACACGGGGAGGUAGUGACAAUAAAUAACAAUACGGGGCUCUUUCGGGUCUCGUAGUUGGAAUGAGUACAAUUUAAAUCCCUUAACGAGGAACAAUUGGAGGGCAAGUCUGGUGCCAGCAGCCGCGGUAAUUCCAGCUCCAAUAGCGUAUAUUAAAGUUGUUGCAGUUAAAAAGCUCGUAGUUGAAUUUCGGGAUUGACACAUCGGUCGUGCCUUAAGGGGUAUGAACUGGUGUAGUCAAUUUCUCACCUUCUGGAGAACCACGAUGCCCUUAAUUGGGUGUCGCGGGGAACCAGGACCUUUACUUUGAAAAAAUUAGAGUGUUUAAAGCAGGCAUUUUGCUUGAAUACAUUAGCAUGGAAUAAUAAAAUAGGACGGCAUGAUUCUAUUUUGUUGGUUUCUAGGAUCACCGUAAUGAUUAAUAGGGAUAGUUGGGGGCAUUAGUAUUCAAUUGUCAGAGGUGAAAUUCUUGGAUUUAUUGAAGACUAACUACUGCGAAAGCAUUUGCCAAGGAUGUUUUCAUUAAUCAAGAACGAAAGUUAGGGGAUCGAAGACGAUCAGAUACCGUCGUAGUCUUAACCAUAAACUAUGCCGACUAGGAAUCAGACGAUGUUAAUUUUUUAAUGACUCGUUUGGCACCUUACG
This 759-nucleotide ribosomal RNA is filed under the name uncultured Glomus. Its description in RNAcentral is "SSU rRNA". It matches the Rfam family "Eukaryotic small subunit ribosomal RNA", at positions 338 to 1092 of the family's 1831-position model. Lineage: Eukaryota; Fungi; Glomeromycota; Glomeromycetes; Glomerales; Glomeraceae. The record is from RNAcentral.